AUGUAUGUAUGUGUUCACAUAUAUUUUAUGUUCUCACUCGGUUUUAAUAUUUUAUUGCAAGUUUUGCACUUAAGCAGAUUACUACUUUUUUUCUUUUUCUUUUUAUUAUUAUUAUUAUUAUUGUUAUUAUUAUUAUUAUUAUUAUUAUUAUUAUUAUUAUUAUUAUUAUUAUAUUUUUGUUUAUUAUUUUCAUCAUUCAAAUUUUCUUUAUGUAUAUUGUUUUUUAUAUGAUUAGGUCUGUUGCUUGUAUUAUUCCCCAUAACUCCACCAGUCGUUUUAUUCUCACCAUAUGCUACAAUAGCAAUAUCUGCUAUUAUAUUAUUAAGCUUACUAUCACACAUAUAACCGUUUCUUUUAUUUAAAUUAAUAAUAUUAACAUUAUCACAUAUAUUGUUCCUAUUUUUACUACUCUUUUUUAAUUUCAUUUUAUUAGUUAUAAUCUGAUUCGUUUCGUUCUUAUUGUUCAAACUACUUACAUUGUUUGAACCACUUGUGUCUAUUCUAGUAACAUUAUUUUUGUUAUUAUUAGAUAUACUAUCUGUCUCCUUCAUAUUACUACCAUUAUUAUUUGUAUUUUCUAUAUCUUUUAUUAUUAAUUUUUCCUUAUUCUUUACUCCUUUUUCUUUUUCUUUUUGUUCAUUAGACAUAUUUGGAGCUAUAUCCAUUAUAAGCCAAAUUAUUUUUUUUUUAAUUCCUCCUCGCGAUUUAUUUUUAUAAUUUCUUCGUAUUCCAUUGUUUUGCUAAAACUUGAUGAUGUGUCACUCAUUGCGUUAUUAACGGUGGUAUCCGAAGUAGCAUCAAUGGUAACAGUACUGAUAGUGUUACAAGUAACACCAUCCGUUGCAUCUGUAAUUUUAUUUGCAUUUUUAUCUGCAUUUUUAUCUGCAUUUUUAUCUGCAUUUUUAUCUGCAUUUUUAUCUACAUUUUUAUCUGCAUUUUUAUUUGCAUUUUUAUCUAU
Molecule: long non-coding RNA, 958 nt
Filed under: Piliocolobus tephrosceles (Ugandan red Colobus)
Lineage: Eukaryota; Metazoa; Chordata; Mammalia; Primates; Cercopithecidae
Description: lncRNA (ENSPTEG00000022217.1)
Source: RNAcentral